RNAcentral lists this ribosomal RNA (254 nucleotides) under uncultured bacterium. RNAcentral's name for it is "partial 16S ribosomal RNA". It matches the Rfam family "Bacterial small subunit ribosomal RNA", at positions 524 to 776 of the family's 1533-position model. The record is from RNAcentral.
UACGGGGGGAGCAAGCGUUGUUCGGAUUUACUGGGCGUAAAGGGCGCGUAGGCGGCCACCGCAAGUCGAUUGUGAAAUCUCCGGGCUUAACCCGGAAAGGUCAACCGAUACUGCGGGGCUAGAGUGCAGAAGGGGCAACUGGAAUUCUCGGUGUAGCGGUGAAAUGCGUAGAUAUGACAUAGAACACCUAUUGCGAAGGCAGCUUACUACGCAUAUAUUGACGCUGAGGCACGAAAGCGUGGGGAUCAAACAGG